ACCGGAGUGGCUCAGUCUGAAGAGCAUGGGAUUCUUGAUCUCAGGAUUGUGAGUUCGAACCCCAUGUUGGGUG
This 73-nucleotide transfer RNA is filed under the name Mustela putorius furo (domestic ferret). It matches the Rfam family "tRNA". Rfam says of the family: Transfer RNA (tRNA) molecules are approximately 80 nucleotides in length. Their secondary structure includes four short double-helical elements and three loops (D, anti-codon, and T loops). Further hydrogen bonds mediate the characteristic L-shaped molecular structure. tRNAs have two regions of fundamental functional importance: the anti-codon, which is responsible for specific mRNA codon recognition, and the 3' end, to which the tRNAs corresponding amino acid is attached (by aminoacyl-tRNA synthetases). tRNAs cope with the degeneracy of the genetic code in two manners: having more than one tRNA (with a specific anti-codon) for a particular amino acid; and 'wobble' base-pairing, i.e. permitting non-standard base-pairing at the 3rd anti-codon position. Lineage: Eukaryota; Metazoa; Chordata; Mammalia; Carnivora; Mustelidae. The record is from Rfam by way of RNAcentral.